UGUGGCGUUACAAUACCCAAAUAACGGAACGUUCUCGCCCUCCUAAUCGGUGCUCGGUCCCGAGCGAGCCCCAAAUUGACGCCACUGAUGUCGGUGCUCAGUCCCGAGUGAGCCCUAAUUUGACCCCACUGAUGUCGGUGAUUAGCAUUCUGUCCCCUUCGUCGGCGUUGGACGUCAGAGUCGCCAGUGGGCACCAACACGCGCGUCGCCCUUCUGUGAUGCUCCGAUUCCGCGAUCGAGCGACGCCCUCGUUUCUGAGUGAACAAAAUGCUCCCAUUCUUCAUUGAUUUGAGUGCCGAUGUCCGGGCAAAAGACAAUUCUUGACCAGACGAAGUCAAUGGAAUUGAGAUUUUGCCGAUUGCAGAAUAGUGGACUGUUCUGUCUGUAGCAUAAACUAUAGCAGAUACAAGUACCCAGCCCGGUCCAUUGCAUGUCAUCAUCUAUUCGGGCCUUCUUCGUAUCCUUGUAUCAGGUUGUUUGAUAUGAAAGUUUAAACCUGUUUUUGGAAGCAAUAGGUUUACCGUACUGCUAUGAAUACUUUCCACUCCGAUGUUUGCGAUCCAUUCAUUGUUCUUGUUAAGGACUCGAGUGAUGUCACAAAAUGCCAUAUCUACAUAGAUUUUGGUUCAGUAAGUUCGUAUGCCGUCGCUGUGUUUCCUAGUUGGCUUCUCUCUGUGAUAUUGGACAAGAAAAGGCUCAGGGAUGCAGAUAAAUUGCUUUCUCUGAUAUAAUUUCCACCUCUGCUUGGAGCUGUUGUGGUGUAAAAGAGCAAUUCUUUGGCCAAAAUAUGUGACCGUCCUGAUGUAAAAUUGAAAUGGACUAUGAAUUGUAUAGGGUCUGAUUUACUUGGUUCAGUGCACCUGCUAGAUAGAUGCAAUUCCAAUGAUUUUCUUGGAGGCUUGCAGCUGGACUAUCACUGAUUGAUUAAUGCUAUACAGUACUUGCAUAUGUCUUCAUACUCUCAGGUCUUGUCUGAACCACUUUCCAGUCAGCUACUGACAGAAUGUGGUCCACAUCCAUCUGAAUGUUAAAAGUAGGAUUUAUCUUUCACUUUAAGCUACUUUCGAGAAGCAUUUCUCUUCUACAUCGUGUGGGAAACACUGACCUUAAGUUGUUUGGUGCAGUCCACAGUUAAGCGUGAUGGCCAUUUGAUUUCAUUGCAAUAUAAAAGGCUGGGAAUAUUGAUGCCUUGUAGGAAACCAGUGCAUGAUAGGGAGCUAAAGUCUAAGGAGCCUAUGCUAAGUCCACAAUGUUGAUACGAUGACUAGUUCUGCAGAGUUCACUUUCCAGGGAUGCUUUUUCACUUCAGUUGCAAUGAUGCUUUUGUUAUAUUUACAAUGGAUUGCGACCAUGAAAUUUGGUUGUGUGUUAGGAGAUGGCUGAAAAUUCUAGUAGUUGCUUCUCACUUACAGUGCUUCAAUUAUCAAUACGCCAGUGUCUUUCUUAUAUGCUACAUCAAAGGAGUACAUGGAGAUUCAUGUGCAUGGAGAUCCAAAAAAAAAAAGACACCCUGGUUUGGCUCAUGAAUCAUGUGAGAGAGAUGGCGAAAGGAAGGUGGGCCUCGGAUUUUAUUGCCUCUCAAUCCAAACACCUCCUGUCAGCAAGCUCCAAUCAAACCAAGGAAGACUGAGGUCAAGGUUUAUAUGGAUCAACCCAUCUUCUCCGCACGCCAUCUCAUGUGAGCAAUGCCUAGUCCCCACUACUUUUGUGGGGGAAGAAGACGAAGACAACGAACGCAUCAUACAUGUUUUGACGGGUGAAGAGACCAUCGGAAGCGUGACCUUUGCUUGCUUGUGGAGCUGAAACACAUGUUCGACACAGACACGAGAGACAUACAAGAAAGAAA
This is a long non-coding RNA of Musa acuminata AAA Group (dessert banana), 1846 nucleotides long. RefSeq lists it as uncharacterized. The record is from RefSeq and is a predicted model, not a curated record. The transcript has 4 exons. Lineage: Eukaryota; Viridiplantae; Streptophyta; Magnoliopsida; Zingiberales; Musaceae.